RNAcentral lists this ribosomal RNA (451 nucleotides) under uncultured Clostridium sp. RNAcentral describes it as "bacterial SSU rRNA". It matches the Rfam family "Bacterial small subunit ribosomal RNA", at positions 974 to 1429 of the family's 1533-position model. Lineage: Bacteria; Bacillati; Bacillota; Clostridia; Eubacteriales; Clostridiaceae. The record is from RNAcentral.
CCUAGACUUGACAUCUCCUGAAUUACCCUUAAUCGGGGAAGCCCUUCGGGGCAGGAAGACAGGUGGUGCAUGGUUGUCGUCAGCUCGUGUCGUGAGAUGUUGGGUUAAGUCCCGCAACGAGCGCAACCCUUAUUGUUAGUUGCUACCAUUUAGUUGAGCACUCUAGCGAGACUGCCCGGGUUAACCGGGAGGAAGGUGGGGAUGACGUCAAAUCAUCAUGCCCCUUAUGUCUAGGGCUACACACGUGCUACAAUGGCUGGUACAGAGAGAUGCUAAACCGUGAGGUGGAGCCAAACUUUAAAACCAGUCUCAGUUCGGAUUGUAGGCUGAAACUCGCCUACAUGAAGCUGGAGUUGCUAGUAAUCGCGAAUCAGAAUGUCGCGGUGAAUACGUUCCCGGGCCUUGUACACACCGCCCGUCACACCAUGAGAGUUGGCAAUACCCAAAGUUC